CAAUAUUUACAAAUCUAUAAUUAAUCGCUUCAUGAAAAUUUCCUCAGCACACAAACAAGGAAUUAACAUGGGCAUAUUACUAUAACCCACUGUAGGUUUGUUCGGUGUUGUUUCAUGAUACACAAUAAUUAUCCCCCCAUGUAUCCUAAGACAGCAAGUUUCCUGGGACAGGAAUUUCUUAGUUGUUCAACAUAGCUCAUCCAUUGUAUAAUGGCAAGUGCACUUAUAAAAAUGUCACGUGCUAGCCUGAUCUCUAACCUGAAAGAUGCAGUCUCAUUUUCCUCUCUUUCCAGGCUCUCCAAACACCCACUCUUGUCCCAGCCUGUUGUUUUCCAUACCUCUUAGUGAGUUUCAUCUUCCCAGUCCAGUUUCUUCUCUCCUAUUUCUGCUUCUCCCACCAUCCCUCAACAUCAGUCCAUGCAUAUGUUUUGUCUUGUCAGGUCUUGCUAUCUGCUCCCCAUUCUCUUUUCUAGUUAACCAUUUCUCCCUCCCCACUUUUUUCCUUUUACCUUUCUGAUCUCAGUCUCUCAAAAUUAAACACUGUAUAUUAUACUUUUCUAAAAUGCCAACCAAGGUACUAUUACACAAAGGAGGUGUGAAAAACCCAGUUAAAAAGGGUUAGUGGUAUGUUUGAGGCAAGGGGAUUUUACCCAGUGAAGAUGAGUGGUCUUUUAACAGGCCCCCAGUGAAUCACACUUUCUUAUCACCCCUUCCAGACAUCUUCAUACUCCUAGUCCAGAGAACCUACUUGAAGGUGUUCACAACCAGGCUGAGGAUUAGUACAGUACAUGUUUCCCUUCAGCAAUAGAAAGCAGAGAGCAAUUUAACUUCUCACUUCAUUGAAGAGGCAGAAGGAUGGGAAAGCAACAGUGCUUUGCCCACAGUGGCACUCCUACAUUCUGCAGCAUAUAUAAGGGGAGGAAAAAUUAAGCAACAGAGCAAGGAAGAGCAGGAGACUUUGAUUACCUUCUGUACUGUGGCACCCCAAGUCUAUAUUGGUCCAUGGACAAACCCAUUGGUCCAUAUGUAAGGCUAUUGUUGUCCCUAAUGUCCUGUCCAUGAAGCCUGGGGAAAGAAUAUUAAGGUACACCCAUAGGAAGCGCUUCUCUUACAAUCUACACAAUGUACAUUUGUCUCUAUCAACUCAUGGCCCUUGGGAUUUUUGACCUAAUAUAAUUCCAGAAGUGAAGCUAUUGCAGAAGGGAACUGCUUGCCUGCAAAGAGGUCUUCUCCAGAAAGACCAUCCUACAUCUGACUGCAGUGACAUGCAUUGGCUAUCCGCUUAGUCCCAGAAAAACUUCCAGAUGGCUGCUGUUCCCUUUCUGCUUCUUAUAAGAUAAGAUGGGGGGGAGGAGAAAGCACAAAGAGAUGUAGAAAAACUCACCAAGGUGGAGUGAUAUAAAUGGUCUGGGCUUCAGAGACUUAUUCAAUAUGCACAAAGUCAGUGGCUGAACUGGAAAGAGCAAAGUCUUCAAACCCUUGGUCAUAUCCAAGGAUCCUGGUUUUCUCUGAUUAAAAAUAACAAUCAACACCCUCGCCCUUCAAAAUCCACAUUUUUCCAUGAUUAAAACAACACACCACAUAUACACAAAUGUGGAUUUUGGGAGAGAUAUAUCUAUAGUUUUUGAUCAUGGGAAAGUGUGGAUUUUGGGUUACAUUUUAAUUAAUGGAUGGCUUAUCUGUUUAUUUUCACAAUACAAAGUAGCAUGGAGAUAUUCACAGGGACUUCUUCAACUUAAGAGGUAGGUUUAUGUUUUACAUAUUGAUGGAUAUGCUGUGUUGCACAUAUUCCAAAAAGUUGUUAUUACCAGUUGCCAACUAAAAAGAAAGAGGCUUAAGAUGGCUUAUUUAAAUGGUGUAAUAAAUUGUGCUGAAACAUA
Molecule: long non-coding RNA, 1880 nt
Organism: Alligator mississippiensis (American alligator)
Lineage: Eukaryota; Metazoa; Chordata; Crocodylia; Alligatoridae
Exons: 3
Source: RefSeq, a predicted model, not a curated record